GGCAGGAUAGAGUAAUGGUAAUUCGCUAGGCUCCUUAUCUAGAAAUGUUGGUUCGAUUCCUUCUCCUGCAA
RNAcentral lists this transfer RNA (71 nucleotides) under Caudoviricetes sp. RNAcentral's name for it is "tRNA-Arg". It matches the Rfam family "tRNA". Rfam says of the family: Transfer RNA (tRNA) molecules are approximately 80 nucleotides in length. Their secondary structure includes four short double-helical elements and three loops (D, anti-codon, and T loops). Lineage: Duplodnaviria; Heunggongvirae; Uroviricota; Caudoviricetes. The record is from RNAcentral.